AACCAUUCUCACCUGCGGCUAGACCUGCGGAAGGAUCAUUACAGAGUUGCAAAACUCCCACAAACCAUCGCGAAUCUUACCCGUACGGUUGCCUCGGCGCUGGCGGUCCGGAAGGCCCUCGGGCCCCCGGACCCUCGGGUCUCCCGCUCGCGGGAGGCUGCCCGCCGGAGUGCCGAAACCAAACUCUUGAUAUUUUAUGUCUCUCUGAGUAAACUUUUAAAUAAGUCAAAACUUUUAGCA
Molecule: unclassified non-coding RNA, 240 nt
Filed under: soil metagenome
Description: partial contains 5.8S ribosomal RNA, internal transcribed spacer 2, and large subunit ribosomal RNA
Source: RNAcentral